GACGAACGCUGGCGGCGUGCUUAACACAUGCAAGUCGAACGGAAAGGCCCUGCUUUUGUGGGGUGCUCGAGUGGCGAACGGGUGAGUAACACGUGAGUAACCUGCCCUUGACUUUGGGAUAACUUCAGGAAACCGGGGCUAAUACCGGAUAGAAGCUCCUGCUGCAUGGUGGGGGUUGGAAAGUUUCGGCGGUUGGGGAUGGACUCGCGGCUUAUCAGCUUGUUGGUGGGGUAGUGGCUUACCAAGGCUUUGACGGGUAGCCGGCCUGAGAGGGUGACCGGCCACAUUGGGACUGAGAUACGGCCCAGACUCCUACGGGAGGCAGCAGUGGGGAAUAUUGCACAAUGGGCGGAAGCCUGAUGCAGCAACGCCGCGUGCGGGAUGACGGCCUUCGGGUUGUAAACCGCUUUCGCCUGUGACGAAGCGUGAGUGACGGUAAUGGGUAAAGAAGCACCGGCUAACUACGUG
This 468-nucleotide ribosomal RNA is filed under the name uncultured bacterium. Its description in RNAcentral is "partial 16S ribosomal RNA". It matches the Rfam family "Bacterial small subunit ribosomal RNA", at positions 28 to 507 of the family's 1533-position model. The record is from RNAcentral.